Molecule: ribosomal RNA, 1282 nt
Filed under: Pantala flavescens
Lineage: Eukaryota; Metazoa; Arthropoda; Insecta; Odonata; Libellulidae
Description: 16S ribosomal RNA
Rfam family: Archaeal large subunit ribosomal RNA (bases 819-1180)
Source: RNAcentral
UAGAGAAAUAUCUUUUUAUUUAGUAUACUAAAGAAAAAUUUUUAUUGUUAUAGUAAAAUAGUACUGUGAAGGAAUUGAUGAAAUAAAUGAAAAUGUAAUUUUUUAAAAGUAUACUUUAUUUGUAGUACCUUUUGUAUCAGGGUUGAUCAAAUAAAUUAAUUUAUAUUUUUAUCUCGAUUUCAAAAGAUCUAAUUUAUUAUUAUGGUUAAUGUAGCAUAAUUAUCAUUAAUAUAAAUUAGAGGAGAAAUUCUAUUCGAUUUUGAAGGUAUCUAGUUUUUUUAGAAAUAAAUUUAAUUUAUCCUUGAACCUUAACUGUUAAUUUUAAUUAUAAGUUAUACUUUCAAGUAAAAAAUUAUAGGGGAUAAGCUCUAUAUUGUUCUAUAAAAUUUUUGUUUAAUUAAUUUCUGUAGGUUUAAAAUUAUCCAUCAGUAAUAAGUGUGUUAUAAUUUAUUUUUUUUAUUAAUCAAUUUUAUUAUUUUUAGAAUUCUAUGAAAAUAUUAUAAUUAAUUUUAUAUUAUAAGAAAUAAUGAUUAAAUUAGUAUAAUAAUAUGUUCAAAUAAAUUGAAUAUUUAUGAUAAAAUAAGGAACUCGGCAAAUACAGUUCCCGCCUGUUUAACAAAAACAUGGCCUUUUGAAUUUAAUUUAAGGUCUGACCUGCCCAGUGAUAAUUUUAACGGCCGCGGUAUACUGACCGUGCAAAGGUAGCAUAAUCAUUAGUCUUUUAAUAGAGGGCUGGAAUGAAAGGUUUCACGAGGAACUAGCUGUCUCAUUUUAUUUGUUUUAAAAUUUAAUUUUUUAGUCAAAAAGCUAAAAUGCAAUUGGUAGACGAGAAGACCCUAUAGAUCUUUAUAUAAUUUUAAAUACUUAUUUAUAUAUUAAUAUUUUUAUUUAAAAUUGUAUUUUGUUGGGGUGACAAAAAUAUAUAAUUAACUUUUUUAUUUACAUAACAUUGAUAUAUGAAUAUUAGAUCCAUUAUUAGUGAUUGAUAGAUUAAGUUACCUUAGGGAUAACAGCGUAAUCCUCCUCCAGAGUUCAUAUUUACAGGAUGGGCUUGCGACCUCGAUGUUGGAUUAAGAUAAUAAUUAGGUGUAGCCGCUUAAUUUAUAGGUCUGUUCGACCUUUAAAUUCUUACAUGAUCUGAGUUCAGACCGGUUUAAGCCAGGUCGGUUUCUAUCUCCAAUUUUAUUUAAUUUUUAGUACGAAAGGACCAAAAUUAAGAAAUAAUUUUUUUAAUUGAAUACCAUUAACUAUUUUGGCAGAAAAGUGCCAUGAAUUUAGAAUU